GCUGAAGAGAGGAGCUUGCUCUUCUUGGAUGAGUUGCGAACGGGUGAGUAACGCGUAGGUAACCUGCCUUGUAGCGGGGGAUAACUAUUGGAAACGAUAGCUAAUACCGCAUAACAAUGGAUGACACAUGUCAUUUAUUUGAAAGGGGCAAUUGCUCCACUACAAGAUGGACCUGCGUUGUAUUAGCUAGUAGGUGAGGUAACGGCUCACCUAGGCGACGAUACAUAGCCGACCUGAGAGGGUGAUCGGCCACACUGGGACUGAGACACGGCCCAGACUCCUACGGGAGGCAGCAGUAGGGAAUCUUCGGCAAUGGGGGCAACCCUGACCGAGCAACGCCGCGUGAGUGAAGAAGGUUUUCGGAUCGUAAAGCUCUGUUGUAAGUCAAGAACGAGUGUGAGAGUGGAAAGUUCACACUGUGACGGUAGCUUACCAGAAAGGGACGGCUAACUACGUGCCAGCAGCCGCGGUAAUACGUAGGUCCCGAGCGUUGUCCGGAUUUAUUGGGCGUAAAGCGAGCGCAGGCGGUUUGAUAAGUCUGAAGUUAAAGGCUGUGGCUCAACCAUAGUUCGCUUUGGAAACUGUCAAACUUGAGUGCAGAAGGGGAGAGUGGAAUUCCAUGUGUAGCGGUGAAAUGCGUAGAUAUAUGGAGGAACACCGGUGGCGAAAGCGGCUCUCUGGUCUGUAACUGACGCUGAGGCUCGAAAGCGUGGGGAGCGAACAGGAUUAGAUACCCUGGUAGUCCACGCCGUAAACGAUGAGUGCUAGGUGUUGGAUCCUUUCCGGGAUUCAGUGCCGCAGCUAACGCAUUAAGCACUCCGCCUGGGGAGUACGACCGCAAGGUUGAAACUCAAAGGAAUUGACGGGGGCCCGCACAAGCGGUGGAGCAUGUGGUUUAAUUCGAAGCAACGCGAAGAACCUUACCAGGUCUUGACAUCCCGAUGCUAUUUCUAGAGAUAGAAAGUUACUUCGGUACAUCGGUGACAGGUGGUGCAUGGUUGUCGUCAGCUCGUGUCGUGAGAUGUUGGGUUAAGUCCCGCAACGAGCGCAACCCCUAUUGUUAGUUGCCAUCAUUCAGUUGGGCACUCUAGCGAGACUGCCGGUAAUAAACCGGAGGAAGGUGGGGAUGACGUCAAAUCAUCAUGCCCCUUAUGACCUGGGCUACACACGUGCUACAAUGGUUGGUACAACGAGUUGCGAGUCGGUGACGGCAAGCUAAUCUCUUAAAGCCAAUCUCAGUUCGGAUUGUAGGCUGCAACUCGCCUACAUGAAGUCGGAAUCGCUAGUAAUCGCGGAUCAGCACGCCGCGGUGAAUACGUUCCCGGGCCUUGUACACACCGCCCGUCACACCACGAGAGUUUGUAACACCCGAAGUCGGUGAGGUAACCUUUGGAGCC
RNAcentral lists this ribosomal RNA (1397 nucleotides) under Streptococcus sp. 2010_Ileo_MS_XIf. RNAcentral's name for it is "bacterial SSU rRNA". It matches the Rfam family "Bacterial small subunit ribosomal RNA". The record is from RNAcentral. Lineage: Bacteria; Bacillati; Bacillota; Bacilli; Lactobacillales; Streptococcaceae.